RNAcentral lists this transfer RNA (68 nucleotides) under Dorymyrmex brunneus. RNAcentral's name for it is "tRNA-His". The record is from RNAcentral. Lineage: Eukaryota; Metazoa; Arthropoda; Insecta; Hymenoptera; Formicidae.
AUUUAAAUAGUUUAAUAUAAAAUUAUAAUUUGUGAUAUUAUAGAUAUAUGAGUAAGAUAUUUUAAAUU